This 23-nucleotide small nuclear RNA is filed under the name Arabidopsis thaliana (thale cress). RNAcentral's name for it is "snRNA_18559". Lineage: Eukaryota; Viridiplantae; Streptophyta; Magnoliopsida; Brassicales; Brassicaceae. The record is from RNAcentral.
UCAUGCAACUAGGGUUUCAAAAU